This is a non-coding RNA of Triticum aestivum (bread wheat), 125 nucleotides long. The record is from Rfam. NCBI's taxonomy places the organism in Eukaryota, Viridiplantae, Streptophyta, Magnoliopsida, Poales, Poaceae.
UUAAUACUCCCUCCAACCGGAAAUACUUGUCGAAGAAAUAAGUAAAAAUGGAUGUAUUUAGAACUAAAAUAUGUCUAGAUACAUCCAUUUCUCCGACAAGUAUUUCUCGACGGAGGGAGUACUAG